GGACCACAAUAAGCUAUGUGCUAAGUGAAACAACACCCCCCAAAUCCUCAGCCUGUCUGCUAAGCCCCGAGGUGGAAAAAGGCUUUAGAUAGGCACCCCAGAUCCGCACAGAGGGGAAUCAGAGUUUGACAGAGUUUCCUGCUCAGCUACCAGGGAUUGCAAGCCCGUGUGGGCUACUAAGAGCCCUUCUCAGAUCCAGGUAUUAAUUGAGUGAAAAGGCAGAACAAGCCAAAAGCCUGACUGAAUGCCAAACAACCAAUAUCUCCAAACUUCCAGGUUGCUCCGAAGCCAGUGAACUCAACGCUGCAACACCUCUGUGUGUGCAGGCCUGGGCCUGACUUCCUCAGAAGUGCCUUCAUUUUAAGAAGCCACAAUUCAUUCUCUGAAGUUUAUUUUUAAACAAAACAGACAAAGGACAGUUCCUGAGGGGGGGAAGGGCUGGCUGCUUUAUGGAUAGUCGGGGAAGAAAGAGGAAACGACCCUGCCGAUAAAAUGUCUUUUCAGGAGACAGGCAUUUCCCCCGAGGGCUUGUCUUUGGCCAAAUCUCAUCAGGAGAGUGCAAAGUAACUGAAGGUCACUGAAGUUGAUCAAGAUCACCCCAGCUAAUUACACCACCAGGACCACGGGUUGUGGUAAUCUUCAAGUAGGUGUUGAUUGUCUCCCGUUACUCUGAACACUAGAGGGAACACACAGUUCGGCCUUAGAAGCCCUCUGUCAGCUGCACGGACUCCGUGGGCUCUGAGAAGUGAUCAAAGCCCCACAGGUUCCCCCAGAAGAUCCAACCUUUCCAAAUACCUGCUGCAUUGCCAACUGCCGGGCCAGAAUCCACACGGGAUGAGUGGCAGCCACCCCUCCUCUCUGCUGUCUCUUGAGCCCCUUCCCUGCGGCAAACCCUGAUUGAAGACCCUCCAUGCACUGGCUCUGAUUUUCAAAGGUCUAGGGGGCAAGCAUUGCAAGUGUGUGGAGAUACGCUGCCGAAACCCUGCUGCCCCUUCAGAUUUACCACCAUCCCUGACACCUGCCCCAGGACGGACUACCGCAGGGCCGACAGAGCAUGCACAGUCUCUUGGGAUCCCUCUACAGCUCAAGGCUUCCACCAACCCAGCAGAAACACGCAGACGUUGUUCCACCUCCUUUAUCUCCCAUCUCCUUCUGUGUCUCAGGGCCUGCAUGGCUGCGUAGGGCUUGCCUCGCUCACUCCAGCUCUCCCUGGGUGGUAUUUUAUAGUACAGCUGCCUGGCAUGCCUGAUUCCAUCUUGGCAUCUGCCCUUUGAAGGACCUGAACUCACACAGCAGACGUCUCUCUCAUCCCAGAGAAGAGGAAGCGGAGGACCGCUGGCGAAGUUCACAGUCAAGGGCGGCCAGGGCUGGGUUGUGGGCAGGCGUGUUUGAUUCCACAAGCUGGUUUUAGCACUUCAGGGCACUCCAUAAAGGAUUAAACUGACAGAAGACAGGGACUGGGUAGUUUUCAGCUCUUAUGUCCUGGUUAUAAGGCCACAACUAAGAGGGUUUAGUGCCCAGCUCCUCACCUUAGCAUGUGGGGGUUAGAAGUCUAGCAGGGGGAUACUACCUUACAGUCCAGAGAUAGCUAUAGUUUAGCUUGAGUGGGUCAUGGCCAGAGUGACAAUUUAAGGAGAGUCCUGCCUUCUCCCCACCACCUCCUCCCAUUGGUCCAUAAUUCCAAAGAGACUACCCACCUAACUACACUUCCUUUUGCGACAAUCUUUUUCUGCUUCAUAGUAAGAACCAGUCUAACCCAGGUUUUCUUUCUUUUUUUUUUCCUGAAUAAUCACAUCAUUUAUUUCUUUUUCUUUUUUUAAAAUUACGUAUUUUCCUCAUUUACAUUUCCAAUGCUAUCCCAAAAGUCCCCCAUACCCUCCCACCCACCCACCCCCACUUUUUGGCCCUGGCGUUCCCCUGUACUGGGGCAUAUAAAGUUUGCAAGUCCAAUGGGCCUCUCUUUCCAGUGAUGGCCGACUAGGCCAUCUUUUGAUACAUAUGCAGCUAGAGUCAAGAGCUCCGGGGUACUGGUUAGUUCAUAAUGUUGUUCCACCUAUAGGGUUGCAGAUCCCUUUAGCUCCUUGGAUACUUUCUCUAGCUCCUCCAUUGGGGGCCCUGUGAUCCAUCCAAUAGCUGACUGUGAGCAUCCACUUCUGUGUUUGCUAGGCCCCGGCAUAGUCUCACAAGAGACAGCUAUAUCUGGGUCCUUUCAGCAAAAUCUUGCUAGUGUAUGCAAUUAACCCAGGUUUUCUUAUGUGGUAAUUAAAAAGCCAUGUAAGUCCUACACACACACACACACAUACACACACUCUGCAUAUACAGGCACAUGUUUAUGCUUGUAUUCAUGGUUAACAUUCACUGGACAAUGAGCAGAGCUAAGAAUUAUGGGUCCUAAAACACCCCUUGGAAUAUUGAAUUAAUGGUCCAGAGCCUGGAGAAAACCUUGCUCUGGGGCGAGUAUCAAGGCCAGGGAGUGGCUCUCCUCUGUCCUAUCAGGCUGAACUUGCACUGGUGAUGCAGCACAUCUGUCUCUGCUCUGGUUUCCUUAUCUAACCCUCCCUAAAGCUCCAUCUUCUCCCAGAUGAGGCUGGGAGAAAACACCCCACAGUGUGAGACAGGCCAAGGGAGCUCAGCAGAGCCUCCACAUGGUUCUGUGAAAACCCAGAGCACACACUGGUGAGUAAUGACCACUGGCAGGCCCGAGGCUUAAGAGGAGGCAGCAGGACCUGUGCAUCCUGAUGGUGGCAGCAGAGACCAGCGCAGCAGCCACAUGGCUCCUGGCCCUCGCUCCUAGUGGCCUGGAGCCAGUCAAUUUUAGUUCUCUUCUGAAGCAGAGUUGGCAGCAAGUAUCUGGCAGGGCUCAGGAGACUAACCACUCCUCAGCCCUUGUACACUGAUGCCCUUCCAGCUAUUGGGAGGGUUUGUGACGUGGAAGGCAGGUGAGCUGCUGACCCUCCAUUGCUGUGCAGGCUUUGAGUUCAAUAUACUCCUCUCUCCCUCAUUAGAACCAGGGGAAUCAUGAGCUGGAGAAAGCAUAGCACGGGGCAAGCCUCUGCUGCUCUCUGAAACCUGGCUUCUCUCCCAGCCCCUUCGCCAGCGGUGAUAAAUUCUACACCUGCACUUUGGUACCAGUCUGUCUGCCUGGCAGAGGAUGGAGAGUCUGCUGUAAGGUCUGCAGAGGUGCUCUGGGGUACACAGACAGCAGGGAAGGUUGAAACAUGAGCCUUCGGACCUGGGAGAGCCCAGCUGGUCUGGUCAUUAGAUGGAGCAGGACUAUGGAAACAGUCCAAACAACACCUAGGGUCCCGAGACCAGACUGAUCUAAAUACUGAUUUAAGUAUUUCCUGUAUAUUUAAGUAUAAUGGCCAAGGAUGACCCAUAGGGGCUAUGUCUGUGACCAAGGACACAGAUUUGAUGUGGGGGUAGUCAGGACCCAGGUAGAAACAUAAAGGAAGUGGACUCUGUUGUCCCCUUGGGCUAUAAAAGGCCAGUGUGGACACAAUUAGAUCUUUAGAGAGAGUGUACUACCCCUGCCCCCCAGCACCUGAAGGCUCCUCUUACAGCUUCGACUUGUCCUUGGGGAGUAGUUCUAGGCUGUGUCUGCCCUGCCUUGACUGACGUCAGUUUUCUAACUCAACGGUGCGGGUGAUGACCAGAGUCUCCUGACACCUCGGUACUGUGUGUCUAUUUAUGUGUUUAUUUUCUUUAGCAAGUGUAGGAACAGAAUGAUAAGACAAUCCUGGGAUCCCAACUAUAAUCGAGGGCGUCCCAACUAUAAUCGAGGGCGACACGCAUGGGAGAUUAGAAAGCAGCUACUUCUCACGUGUGACUGUUAAUAAUUUGCUUACUAAUACGUGCUAAGUUUUUUCAAUCUCCUUCCUAUUUCAGAAGCAGGGAUCACAGCCUAUGGUCCACUAUGCACAGCUGAGAUGGAUGUACCUAGGAGAGGCACAGCCCCAGGGGGUUUGUCUCUGGAUUGCUCCUUGAUGUUGCGGUUCUUUCUGAAUCUAGCAAGGUGUGAGUGGGUGUGGGGAGACCCUCUCUACCUAUAGAGUCUGCUGUCAUUGCUUCUUGAGAGACAGCCCACUCUACUGAGUGAACGAGGAGAGACGUGGAAGGGAGGAGAAAAAAGAGACAAGACGGAGAAACAGCAGAGGAUGGUGAUGAUUCUUCCAGCUAUAGCCGUAACAAAGUGCCAACGUUAGGCCCCUGCUCAUUUAGACCGGCUUGCCCCAUGCUUCUGUUCCUGGCACCCCAGAGCACCAACAGCUCUUGUGAGAUCCAUGGAUGACCUUGAGGUAAGGCAGAGAUGCCCUGGUGCCAUAGGAGUGUGAUGGGCAGAAGAGGGCACUGGUCUAGACAGGGCAAGCAGAUCUAGCUUCCCUAGCAUUGUAGUACAGUCUGGGAUAGAAAACACUCAUCAGUGAAGACCAUUGGUUGCUGGAAGUUUGACAGCAAGUGCUGUCCCCGUUAUUCCUUGUGUAGCUAAACUUGGGGAAAGUCACUGGUGCUACUUGGUCUUUCUGAGUAGGAAGAGCACUUCUGAAUGAUUUUCAAAAAAAAAAAAAAAAAGGAUGCAUAAUAAUGUGUGUGGAUAACUUUAUUGAGUAAAUGCAAAGGCAUAAAAAAAACCCAUUAAUUUGAAAGCAUUCUUAAAUACAAAUGGUUCUUAUAAUCACAGCACCAUAUGCCGCUAAACUCGCACAUCCCAGGCUGCGAGUCUGGCUGUUGCAGCAUCCAGGGACCAAUGUGCCCCUUUGCUCUGACCUGUUCAUGGUUGUUAUUUACAUGACAUGUAUGUCAUAACUGUACACCCUGUGGCUCAGCGCCACAGGGGUGGUCACUGGUGGUGGUAACCUUCUAUGUUUGAGGAGCAUUCUGCUCCAAGUUGGUCUCCUGAGUGUUAAGAGCUGAACCAGGGAGAGCUGGUCCCAGCUGAUGCUGGAUGGAGGGGAAUUUUCUACGGCCUGAUUCUGACGUGUCAGCACCUCUAGGUUUAUCUGCACUCCUUUGUUAUUGGAUUUCUUUUAACCUUAGUGAGACCCCAGGAAGUGGGUAGGCAUCUGUUUGACGACUCUCAGAGCCUUUCUGGACUUCACCGUGCUCUAGCAGGGCAAGGGGCUGCACUGGUGUCGUGGGUAGGAUUCCCACACGAAUUCUGGGAUAGGCAGCAAAGUUGCUAGCAGUGGGAGUCCUGCUUGGGUCUUACGGGGAGUCUGGUAGGAAAGGCAGGGCCCAGCUUCUGACUCUUGAUGUCUGGUGGAGCUGGCAAGACUCUGGUUAGUCUCAAGGGAGCAGGGAGGGAGGAACUCCAGAGAGCCUGGAGCAGUACCCGGUGUGUAGUGGUUUUUGGAAUGACCCUUGGACCUAAUAUGCACAGAUAAGCCCAUGCCGGGGAGGCUGAGCAACCUGGUUUUUAGCAGAGGCAAUGGUUCCCCCUAAGCAAGCCGGGUUUCUACGCUUCCAUUCACGAGUCAGCCCACACACUCACAGUGCAUUCUGCUCAUUCAAGUCGGUCCUGAAUCACGCUUGCUUUCUCCCUAGCAACCAUUUGACAGGGUGGGAAGUGAAAGCCCCGGGAGACAAGGCAACGUGUGUGCGGUCACACAGUCGCAGCAGCAUGUGCUACCAGGACGAUUUCUAAAGCAUAUGUUCUUCCUAGUUAACUGCCGCCAGAGAUGCAGGGGGUGGGGAGUGGGGGCAGAGGGCCAACCGCUGGUACCACAAGAGGCCAACCUUGGAACUACUUUGAUCUUAAGCUUCCAGCCUUCCGAAGCUUCGAGGAAAUAAGUACCUGUGGGUUUUUAAGCCCUUCAGAGAGUGCUAUUUUGUUACGGCAUCCCAGUAUUAAGCAUUUUGUAUUAGAACCCUUCUGGAAGGGGAGAGAUGAAGAUGAGGGCAUGGGGAGGGUGAGUGGUUUACACUGGGAGAUGAUCUGAGAGUCAGCCAAGGGGGCUGAGAUUGGAAAAACAGGGAAAACUUGAUCUGAGGGCAGCUGUGAGUUGAUGGGGAGCACCGUGCAUCAUAUGCCUUAAGGAGACUCCGCCAGACACCCUCCUAACUGAGGGCUGCUGCUUGGGUCCAUACCCACUGGGUACCAUGUGGCUGAGUUAGUGUGGUCUUCAGUGCAGGGGCUGGCAGGUGACAAACUGUGUCCAUUUGGUGGCUGCUGUAGUAGCUAGAGUCCCCCCAGAGGAUUGCUGAGCUGGAGCACAGAGUGUCUCUGGUACUCAGAGCCCUAGAGCCAAGGACAUUAUAUUGUUUUGGCUUCAGAGUCAAGAACAGCAGAGUUUGGAAAGAGAGACCAGCUAGCCCCAGGGACAGGCACACAGUGGGAAGGAGAGCCACCUGGGCUCCAGGACAAUGCCAGCAGCCUUCUAGAACACAAGGUUUAUGCUGUCUGGGGUUUAAAAUGCGUAGAGAAAGAAAUCCCCCUGGUUUCCCCACUGGGAGCCUGCAGGGGCUUAGAUCCCAGCCGACCCCUUUGCUGAGUUCCUGAGGCUUCUAGUUUGUAUUUGCUGCUGUUGCUGCUCUUCAGAUACCAGACUCCUCAGAAGUUUUCCUCCUCUCUAUGCAGGCUGUGAAGUUACUGCUCCAUGUCUUAAUGUAGUCUCCAAUCGUCUCCAAUCGUUGCUACUAUAAAUACUCAAGUUUCUUCUGGAGUGCUGUGAUGGUUUGUAUAUCCUUGGACCAGGGAGUGGCACCAUCUGAAGGUGUGGCCUUGUUGGAAUAGGUGUGACCUAGUUGGAAUGGGUGUGUCACUCUGGGUAUGGGUAUAAGAUCCUCACCCUAGUUGCCUGGAAGUCAGUCUUCCACUGGCAGCCUUUGGAUGAAGACAUAGAACUCUCAGUUCCUCCUGCACCAUGCCUGCCUGGAUACUGCCAUGCUCCCACCUUGAUGAUAAUGGACUGAACCUCUGAACCUGUAAGCCAGCCCCAAUUAAAUGUUGUUUUUUAAAUAAAACUUGCCUUGGUCAUGGUGUCUGUUCACAGCAGUAAACCCUAACUAAGACAAGUGCCAAGGGGUUCCUUACUUUGGUUAUCACAGUGAGGGGUCCUAGAGUUCACCUAAGCCAACCUCUUCAUUGUAACAGUGGAGUGACUCAGGUGUGGCUUGGUUGGCAGCACUUGGAUGGUUGGUGUGUGUGGUGUGGCUGUUUGCUCUGAACUAUGUCCUCAUACUCUGAGAGCUCAUGAAACUUAGAAAACUCACGUGCGCUUCCUCCAGGUUAUGUAAGUAACACAUGAUUGGAUGGGGAGAAGAGACUUUGUUAGAACUGUCCACAAGCUUUGGGAGCCAGGCUGACUCCAUGACAGGUUUUAAACUGGCAGUUCAGAGACUAGGCCUAAAUUUUUGUUUCCCAGAACUGGGCAAAUCAGUUACUGGAAAAACCACAGGCCAUGGACAACCAAUCAGAAGCUGCCUUGCCACCUGGCCCGAGGCAAGAACAGUGAGUCAGCAACAGUUUCCAGGCUUCCCCAGCAACAGUUUCCAGUACCCACCACCCCACAAUGGUUCUGGAAUGUCCCUAGAAGCCUAGCCAAUCCCAAAGACCCACCAUACCCCAAGAGCCAACCAAUCAAAGUAAAGGUCUCCCACCCCUCCCAGAUUGUCCUCUAAUCUGCUUUAAAUUGGGCCUGGGAGCUCACCUGGGUGUCUCUACAUUGGCCAAUGGAUUUCGAAGACCUUGCAUGUUGGACUUCUGCAGAAUAAAAUGCUCUUUGCUUCUGCAUACUAUCUGAGUCUGGGGUAUCAUUCUUUGGUGAAUCACGGACCCUUAUAAGGGUAGGGAUGCAGCUUUCUGGAACUGUCAUUAGAGCUGAGGUUGGGCUUCUGAGUCACGGAUGUUCCUGACCAUAUCAGCUCAGGCUAGGCUUGGGUGGAAUCACUCUUUGGUCUGCCCUUGUGCCCUGAAUGGGGAGACUAUUUUUUUCAUGUUUCCCCAGUAAAAGUCACAAAACAAGGAGAGACGGCCUGGCUCAAAGCCAUUUUUCAUUUGUAUCAUAAAAUAGCUACAGGGUUGAACUGUCUAACCCCUUUCAACCUUACUGUCACCUUGAAUAUGGAAAUGAGACAAGGGCUUACACUCUUCUACUCUGCACAAAAGGUUAGCAAAUGAAGGCUGUGAUGUGUACUGUCACAAGCAUGUGCAAGGCCUUCAACCAGGGGCUCCCCUAACACAUGCAAAUUUUCAUUCAAGGCCUUUUGUACUGGUCUACACACUCCCCUCCCCACAAUCUGGGGCGACUGCCUCUUUGCAUAUCAUUUGCAUGUAUUUGCAUAAUGGACUCUAAUUCUAAACAUGUAAGAGUCACUAAAAUGAAAAUCUAGCUUGACAUGCUUAAAAUGUAGAGCCAAAAUUUAAAAAUGUGUCAGAAUAAGGAUAAGUGUGUGUGUGUGUGUGGGGGGGUGCCCACAGACAGAUGUCACAGGAAGGCCUCUUCCUCCUCCCUAAAAUUUCCAUGCUUGGGUCAUCAUCUCAAGGGAUGGAGAGGGCAUCCUCCUCCUGCGUGUUUAGUUGAUUGCCACAGUCCUGGUCGGGCACUGGCAUUUGCACCUGGCACAGGCAAGGACAGGAGUGGUGACAAGCCAAGUGGCUAAUAAGGUACCGAGCAUUUCUUAUGUCACAUACAUUGCUGGAAGGGCAAACCUUUGCAGGCACAUGGACAGACAGGAGGUGCUCUUUUUAGCUCCAUGCUGCAACUGACAGAUGGAAGCCAGCAGACCCCAUUGGUGAGCACACAGCUUAGGAAUGGUGAGCGGGAUUCAGCAAACCCUGGCUCUAAGAACUGCACUUUCACCUUUCUUGGUGUUUAUCAGUGCUGGCGAUGGAAGCCUGAGCCCUAAGUAAACUUGGCAAGCUUGCCCACUGAGCCACAUUCCCCACCCUUCUCUGCUUGAGGCCCUCCACUCUGCCUAUGUUCCGCAUGGCCAGAGGCUAUGAUUUACCACCUCUGGGAAUUCAUUUUCUAGGCUGAGUUUUUCUCUCUCACCUAAAAAAAUGGUACGUUUAAGCUUAUAUACACACAUUUGUUGUACUGAUAAUUCAUACUAACAACUCCAUUUAAUUUCAUUAUUUUAAAUGACUUCUUGAGUAGAUUCUCCUUCACACUCCAGGGUUUUUUUUGUCUACUGCCUUUUUAAUCCUCUCUUAGGCAAUCACAGGAGUCAGAACUAUUUAUGUCCCAUCACUGAGCCCAGUCAACUCUUAAGACUCACGAACAAUGGCAGCAAAAUAUUUUGUUAUCGUUUUAAGCCUCUUUACACGCAUUUUGAUUUUUAUUUCUUUUUUCCUUUGAGAAAGGAUCUCCUUAUGUAGUCCAUACUAGCCUUAACCUUGCAAUUCUCCUAAGUGCUGGAACAUAAUAAGAGUGUGUCCCCACACCGUCUUGAAGAGAGAUGGCUCAGUGGUUAAGAGCACUGACUGCUCUUCAGCGGUCCUGAGCUCAAUUCCCAGCAGCUACAUGGUGGCUCAUGACCAUCUGUAAUGGUCAUACGAUGCUGUCUUCUGCUGUGUCUGAAGGUAGUAACAGUAUAACCAUGUAUAUGAAGUAAGUAAAUAUUUAAACAAAGAAACCCUAG
This is a long non-coding RNA of Mus musculus (house mouse), 9582 nucleotides long. RefSeq annotates it as predicted gene 16252. The transcript is spliced from 5 exons. Lineage: Eukaryota; Metazoa; Chordata; Mammalia; Rodentia; Muridae. The record is from RefSeq and is a predicted model, not a curated record.